Molecule: ribosomal RNA, 496 nt
Filed under: uncultured bacterium
Lineage: Bacteria
Description: partial 16S ribosomal RNA
Rfam family: Bacterial small subunit ribosomal RNA
Source: RNAcentral
GAUGGACGCUGGCGGCGUGCCUAAUACAUGCAAGUCGAGCGAACGGACGAGAAGCUUGCUUCUCUGAUGUUAGCGGCGGACGGGUGAGUACACGUGGAUAACCUACCUAUAAGACUGGGAUAACUUCGGGAAACCGGAGCUAAUACCGGAUAAUAUUUUGAACCGCAUGGUUCAAAAGUGAAAGACGGUCUUGCUGUCACUUAUAGAUGGAUCCGCGCUGCAUUAGCUAGUUGGUAAGGUAACGGCUUACCAAGGCAACGAUGCAUAGCCGACCUGAGAGGGUGAUCGGCCACACUGGAACUGAGACACGGUCCAGACUCCUACGGGAGGCAGCAGUAGGGAAUCUUCCGCAAUGGGCGAAAGCCUGACGGAGCAACGCCGCGUGAGUGAUGAAGGUCUUCGGAUCGUAAAACUCUGUUAUUAGGGAAGAACAUAUGUGUAAGUAACUGUGCACAUCUUGACGGUACCUAAUCAGAAAGCCACGGCUAACUACGUG